AAUUUAAUACUAAAUUAAUAAUAUAAUUAAAUUAAAUGAUUUUCUUUUAAUUUUCUAAUAUUAUAAUUAAAUAGUAAUAAUUGGGCUAAAAUUAAAAAAAAAAAUUGGGCUGAUCAGAUGAGCCCAUAUGGACAAAAAACCGGCCCAUCCGGUCAAAAUAUGCAUAAAUGGUAAAAAUAAACGGGUUCCAGCCGGUUAACCAGGGCUCAAACGGGCAAAAAAUCGGGUGAACCGGUCACCUGGGUAUAAAUUUCCCUUUUCUCUCUUCUUCCACUUGAAACCCUAGUUCUCCCACACCUCUGAUCAGCCGUCUCCUUCCUCUCUCCCCCUCUCUCUGCUUGAAUUCCAUUUUUCAUCUCCCUCACCUCUGGUCCACGUCUCCCCAGCCGGUCACAAAACCACCACCACCGGCCACCAAACAACCACACACACUCGCCACCGGCCACCAAACAACCACCACCGCCACCAUAGAGCGUUGAUCCCCCCCCCCCCCACAGCCCAUGUUUCAUAGCUUCAAAGCCUUGAAGCUUGCAAAGGAGUAGAUUUGAUUUCUCGCUCACCCACUCACUGUCUUCCUCCUCUUCCGAUCGCUCUCUUCCUCCUUUCUCGCUCACCCACUCACGGUCUCUUCCUGCCACGCCACGCUCCGGCCACGAUGCAGCCUCCACCGCCCCUCUUUGACACAUGCAAGCCGAUUUGAGAUCGGAGCAAAAACGACCGGAUCGGAGCUCUUGUUCUUCCACACAGUCAAGAUCAUAUUUUUUUUUAUCUUUUUUCUAUGUAAAAAAACUCAUCUUUUGUAAAUAAAUUUGUUCAUCUUCUUUCUU
This is a long non-coding RNA of Lotus japonicus, 827 nucleotides long. RefSeq lists it as uncharacterized. The transcript has 2 exons. NCBI's taxonomy places the organism in Eukaryota, Viridiplantae, Streptophyta, Magnoliopsida, Fabales, Fabaceae. The record is from RefSeq and is a predicted model, not a curated record.